This 460-nucleotide ribosomal RNA is filed under the name uncultured bacterium. RNAcentral's name for it is "partial 16S ribosomal RNA". It matches the Rfam family "Bacterial small subunit ribosomal RNA", at positions 338 to 795 of the family's 1533-position model. The record is from RNAcentral.
CCUACGGGGGGCAGCAGUGAGGAAUAUUGGUCAAUGGCCGCGAGCCUGAACCAGCCAAGUCGCGUGAGGGAUGAAGGUUCUAUGGAUCGUAAACCUCUUUUAUAAGGGAAUAAAGUUUGCCACGUGUCCUUUUUUGCAUGUACCUUAUGAAUAAGCAUCGGCUAACUCCGUGCCAGCCUCCGCGGUAAUACGGAGGAUCUGAGCGUUAUCCGGAUUUAUUGGGUUUAAAGGGUGCGUAGGUGGAUUGUUAAGUCAGUUGUGAAAGUUUGGGGCUCAACCGUAAAAUUGCAGUUGAAACUGGAAGUCUUGAGUGCAGUAGAGGUGGGCGGAAUGCGUGGUGUAGCGGUGAAAUGCUUAGAUAUCACGAAGAACUCCGAUUGCGAAGGCAGUUCACUGGACUGCAACUGACACUGAGGCUCGAAAGUGUGGGUAUCAAACAGGAUUAGAUACCCGGGUAGUC